Pezoporus occidentalis (night parrot) is the source of this 651-nucleotide long non-coding RNA. RefSeq lists it as uncharacterized. The record is from RefSeq and is a predicted model, not a curated record. The transcript is spliced from 2 exons. NCBI's taxonomy places the organism in Eukaryota, Metazoa, Chordata, Aves, Psittaciformes, Psittacidae.
GGUAACAGGAGGACUGCUGCGGCCUAGCCGUGCGGGUACCGCCAUGCCGCCGCGGCGGGGGCCGUGCCUGGGUUACAGCCUGCCCCCUCCACAGGCAUUUAAAUUUUCUGCAGAGAUGGAAGUGAAAAACAAGGGAACAAACAGCACUGCAAGGGAAUAUAUAUUGGAGUGCAUGUCUGAAUACAAUCAGAAUUGGGCAAUUCAGGAAGAGUCAAGAGAUGUAGAAGAGCCCAUUAUUCCUGAUCAGAAACUCAAGUGGAAGUUGAAAAUGCCGAUUAAAAAAUAAAGAAGGAGAAAGAAAGACUUUUUUUUGUCAGUUCUCAAUACUUUUCCAGGAAGUAUUCCUGAGGGAUUUCUGAUCCGACAGAAAUCAAGGAUUAAGACUUUGAACCCUGACGUGCUUGGAUUAUUCGGCCAUGUGGUUUGACCUAAGUUAACUCAGUGAUAGUCAGAGGGGUUUAAAGAAGCAGCAAAUGUGGAGAUGCCCUAAGUCAGAAUGGCUGACUUCAAUAAAAUGAAACAGAAUAUGUGGGACAGCAAUGACAGUCAUAGCUUCUGUUGAGUGGGUUUAUUUUUCAGUCUGGAAGCCAAGAGACUGCACUGCAGACAUUUCUACCUAUUAAAUGAAAUAAAAACAGAACUAAAAUCAUA